GUGACGCAGCCUGCGCGGCGUGCCGAGUGUAGGAUGAAGGGCUCUGGACUGCCACUUCUUUUUUACGGGGCAAAAAAAGGGAAUUCUUUCUCGUCUGACGGUACCCUAUGAAUAAGCCCGGCUAACUCCGUGCCGCAAGGUUGAAACUCCGGGAAUUGACGGCGUUAUCCGGAUUUACUGGGUUUAAAGGGAGCGUAGGCGGUUUUGUAAGUCCGUGGUGAAAGCCCUCAGCUCAACUGAGGAACUGCCAUGGAUACUAUGGGACUUGAAUAUCGUUGAGGUUUGCGGAAUGGGUCAUGUAGCGGUGAAAUGCAUAGAUAUGACCCGGAACACCAAUUGCGAAGGCAGCAGGCUAAACGAAUAUUGACGCUGAGGCUCGAAAGCGUGGGGAUCAAACAGGAUUAGAUACCCUGGUAGUCCACGCCCUAAACGAUGAGGGCUCGACAUACGUGAUAUGACAAUGUGUGUCUGAGCGAAAGCAUUAAGUAAUCCACCUGGGAAGUACGACCGCAAGGUUGAAACUCAAAGGAAUUGACGGA
This 539-nucleotide ribosomal RNA is filed under the name Sphingobacteriales bacterium Cy1. RNAcentral's name for it is "bacterial SSU rRNA". It matches the Rfam family "Bacterial small subunit ribosomal RNA", at positions 375 to 917 of the family's 1533-position model. The record is from RNAcentral. Lineage: Bacteria; Pseudomonadati; Bacteroidota; Sphingobacteriia; Sphingobacteriales.